UCCGAAUUAGUCUAGAGGUUAUGAUACCAGACUCUCACUCUGGUGACCCGGGUUCGAACCCCGGAUUCGGAG
Molecule: non-coding RNA, 72 nt
Organism: Terramyces sp. JEL0728
Lineage: Eukaryota; Fungi; Chytridiomycota; Chytridiomycetes; Rhizophydiales; Terramycetaceae
Source: the annotation of a GenBank genome assembly